Molecule: RNA transcript, 4855 nt
Organism: Myxocyprinus asiaticus (Chinese sucker)
Lineage: Eukaryota; Metazoa; Chordata; Actinopteri; Cypriniformes; Catostomidae
Gene name: volume-regulated anion channel subunit LRRC8C-like
Exons: 4
Source: RefSeq, a predicted model, not a curated record
ACAGAACUGAGUGAGUACCGCAGUCGCAAGGACAUGCUAGCACCCUCUCUGAUUUUCAGCUGUAGAGUGAGAACGCUACCCAGAUCAUUUUAAGGGAGCAUGAUUCCAGUGACAGAAUUCCGGCAGUUCACGGAACAGCAGCCAGCGUUCCGGGUUCUGAAGCCAUGGUGGGAUGUGUUCACAGACUACCUCUCUGUGGUCAUGCUCAUGAUAGGCGUGUUUGGAUGCACUCUGCAGGUGAUGCAAGACAAAAUCAUAUGCCUUCCUCAAAGGUCAAAUCAGACAGAGCUGAUGAAUGCAACUGUUCCCUCAUCACCUGUAUCCUCAGUGCCUGUGGUCCAUGAGCUGAAAGGACUGAAGACCAACUUGGAUAUUCAGCAGUAUAACUACAUAAAUCAAAUAUGCUACGAAAAGGCACUUCAUUGGUAUGCCAAGUAUUUCCCAUAUCUGGUUCUCAUACAUACCCUCAUUUUCAUGGUGUGCAGCAAUUUCUGGUUCAAGUUUCCUGGCUCCAGCUCAAAAAUUGAGCACUUUAUAUCAAUACUAGGCAAGUGUUUUGACUCUCCGUGGACUACAAGAGCUCUGUCAGAAGUAUCAGGGGAGAAUCCUGAAGAGAAAGACAACAAAAAGAACAGUGACAGUAGGUCAAACCUUGAUACUCCAAUUGGUGAGGGCAACCUAGAGAAGACUCCAUCUCUCAGAUCCAUUCCUGAGAAAAUUGUUGUGGACAAGCCAGCACCCAGUGUCCUUGACAAGAAGGAGGGAGAGCAAGCCAAGGCCUUGUUUGAGAAGGUCAAAAAAUUUCGCCUACACGUGGAGGAGGGUGAUAUAUUGUAUGUAAUGUAUGUCCGUCAGACUGUUGUAAAAGUGCUCAAAUUUAUCCUUAUAAUUGCUUACAACAGUGCUCUGGUGUCAAAGGUUCGGUUCACUGUUAGUUGUACUGUGGACAUACAACACAUGAUAGGUUACCGGGACUUCUUUUGCAAUCAUACUAUGGCCCACUUGUUCUCUAAGCUCUCCUACUGUUAUUUGUGUUUUGUCAUUGUUUAUGGACUCACUUGCCUUUAUACAUCCUACUGGUUGUUCUAUCGUUCUCUGAAGGAAUACUCUUUUGAAUAUGUAAGGCAAGAGACUGGAAUUGAUGACAUCCCAGAUGUGAAGAACGACUUUGCUUUCAUGUUACACAUGAUCGAUCAGUAUGAUCCACUGUACUCCAAGAGGUUUGCCGUGUUUCUAUCAGAGGUCAGUGAAAACAAGCUUAAACAGCUCAACCUCAACCAUGAGUGGACAGCUGACAAGCUUCGUCAGAAGCUGCAGACCAAUAGCAAUAACAGGCUGGAGCUUCAGCUCUUCAUGCUCUCUGGUCUCCCGGAUACCAUCUUUGAGGUGACAGAGCUGCAGUCUUUGAAGCUUGAGAUUAUUAACAAUGUUACCAUACCUGCAGCUAUCGCCAAGCUGGAGGAUCUCCAGGAGCUUUCACUUUAUCAGUGCUCGCUCAAGAUCCACAGCGCAGCCACAUCAUUCCUCAAGGAGAACUUGAAGGUGUUGCGAGUGAAGUUUGAUGACUUUCGUGAACUUCCGCAGUGGUUGUAUGUGUUGCGGAACUUGGAAGAACUCCAUCUGAUUGGCUCUUUGUGUUCUGAUGCAUCAAAGAAUAUAACCCUAGACUCUCUACGAGAACUAAAGGCGCUCAAGACCCUGACACUCAAGAGCAACUUCAGCAAGAUCCCUCAGUCUAUUGUGGAUGUGGCCAGCCAUCUACAACGUCUCUGUAUUUGCAAUGAUGGCACCAAGCUGGUCAUGCUAAACAACCUUAAAAAGAUGGUGAAUCUUGUAGAACUUGAGUUGGUGCACUGCGACCUGGAACGCAUACCGCACGGCAUUUUCAGCCUUACUAAUCUGCAGACAUUGGACCUGAAGGAGAACAAUCUACGCUCCAUUGAAGAGAUUGUCAGCUUCCAGCACCUCCGUAAACUGACCUGUCUGAAGCUCUGGCACAAUGGCAUCACUUUUAUUCCUGAACACAUAAAAAAACUUGGCAGCUUGGAGCGCCUAUACCUCAGCCACAACAAGAUCGAGAUUCUGCCUUCACACUUGUUCCUCUGCACCAAACUGCGCUACCUCGAUCUCUCCAACAACGACAUCCGUUUUAUCCCACCGGAGGUCGGCGUUCUCCAGAGCCUUCAAUAUUUUUCUGUUAGUUGUAAUAAACUCGAAAAUAUUCCAGAUGAACUCUUUUUCUGUAAGAAGCUGAAAAAUCUCAAGCUCGGCAGGAACACACUGUCUGUUCUCUCGCCAAAGAUUUCUUACCUAAGUGUACUGACUCACUUGGAGUUAAAGGGUAAUCACUUUGAGGUCUUGCCAGCCGAACUGGGCUGUUGCCGUACCUUGAAGCGGAGUGGACUUGUGGUAGAAGAUGUGCUGUUUGAGACGCUGCCUUCAGAUGUCAGGGAACAAAUGCAAGAAGAGUGAUGUUCAAAUGGUUUGCUUUAAUGCCAAAUGCUAAUCGGACUUCUUAAGAGACAACACUUGAAGGUUCCAUCCUGUAGUAUGUGUUGUGAUCUAUAUGGGAAGGUCUUGCCAUUUCUUCCUAUGUCUGUGACUGAAGUGCUUUUCAGUGUUGCACAAAGUGCAGAAGUGAGGAAAAGCUCUUCACUAGACCCCAGGCCUUUAUAAAUCGAUAGCAAGCUAAUGACCCUGGACACUUUGAUCUUGAUGAUUCACCCUGAAGAGAAGAUGGCUAUCUGUUCAACCAUGACAAGGUGAAAUCAAUAGCAGCUGUCAGUGGAACGGUGGAUAGAGGCAAAAGGACAUUUUCAAGGUUCCCAUCAGAGGACAAUACAGACUUGAAUGCAAAAUAAACCAGUUUAUGUAGAUUAGCUUCAAUUUAAAGCAUGUUUAAACACAGUCUUAGAAAUUGCUGUUCCUUGCAGUCUUUCAGCCAUUUUCUCCCAGAGCUAAAGCUAAGCUAGUCUUCCACUGUAUUUAGAUGGCUACAUGGCUAUUGAAAAGGCAAAGGUGUGAGUGCCAAGAACUGCCCUCCUGUACCCAGAAUUUGCCUGUGGGACAAAUGUGAGUGUAGAAUGUGGGAUUCAUCUUGUCAUUCUGUGUUUCAAACAAACACCGAGACAAAGACCUUUAAGGGUUUCUGUUAUCUACCGUCCUUUGUCUCCCUCUGUGUGUGCAAAUAGCUGUUCAUGCAAACCCUCUUCCGACCCUCACCUUAACACUAAAUAUGACCUACACUAUUAGGUUAAUGUGGCAUUAAAAUACAAGUAUGGUAAACCUGCAAGACUUGAUUGUCCAGUGGGGUCAGAGGGCAAAGCCUCUUUAAUCUUAUUUGCAACCAUAUGGCUUACUUCUUGUAAAACAUUUAUUUAUUUACAUUUAUUUACAUAUGAAAAAGACAGACAACUUGAAAAGGCAUGCAUUUACUGUGAACGAAAUGUGUGUAUUAUUAUUAUCAUUACUCAAUAGGUUUAUAGGGUACUAUUAUGUUUUAGCUUGUUUUUCCUAUCUUGUUCAUCCAUAUCAGCUGUAAUAGAAAUAAUAUUUUAAUAGUAUAGCCCUAUUUUUCAUUGUUGGGGCAACCAUAUGUGUUCCAGUGGCAUUCAUAUUAACUCACCGAGCACUUUAUUAGGAACACUAUGGUCCUAUGCUGUUUUGAAUACAGCAGCCAUAUCACCCAGCAGCUCUUGCCUGGUUGCCCACUAUAGCUAAGCAGGGUUGAUCCUGGAUGGGAGACCUCUUGGGGAAAACUGAGGUUGCUGCUGGAAGCAGUAUUAGGGUGGUCAGCAGGGGGUGCUCACCCUGUGGUCUGUGUGGGUCCUAAUGCCCCAGUAUAGUGAUGGGCACAAUAUACUGUAAAAAGGCUGUCUUUCAGAUGAGAUGUUAAACUGAGGUCCUGACUCUCUGUGGUCAUUAAAAAUCCCAGGACACUUCUCAUAAAGAGUAGGAGUGUAACCCUGGUGCCCUGGCCAAAUUCCCUUAUUGGCCCUUCUCAAUCAUGGCCUCCUAAUAAUCUCCAUCCAUUAACUGGCUCUAUAACUCUACUCUCUCCUCUCCACCAAUAGCUGGUGAGUGUACUGGUGCACUAUGACUGCAAUCGCAUCAUCCAGGUGGAUGCUGCACACUGGUGGUGGUUGAGGAGAUUCCCCCUCAGGCCUGGUUCUAUGGGGGUGCUUGAGGGUGCUAAGCACGCUCAAAUGAACCUGAGCGCACCCUCAAUUGCAGACCAGGGCAAAUUACUGCCCGCGGGUCGAUUUAUCAUGAAUGUGUUUUAUUAGAGCUUUCAUUUAUCUGGCUUUGGGACCUAUCACAUAUCCACAAGUAUUUAAUAUGCUCAGGGUUGUCAUAAUAGAUACAACAUCCCAAUCAGAGAUAUAUACUUGCACAAAUUGGAAAUAUUUCACCUUAUGUCAUACUUAAUUUAUGCAAUCUGCCAACCAUGUGUGCGAGUGCGCGCUUUCUCCUCUUCGAAAAAAAUAAAAUACUUAACGCUCAACAGUGCAAUAUUCUGCUCAAAGAAAAGUGUGAUGUAGCCACUCCACGUCCAUUCGUGAGGCUGCGUGUGCUGUUUAGUGGCAAGUCUGCGAGCAAACCUUUUCAGUGAUGAUCUUUAGUAAAAUCCCAAUAGAUCUUCGCAUCAUUCGCACAUGGAGGGGACAUGCGAGCAAAUCCGAGUGAGAGAGGAAUAGGACUGUUUUUUUGUGUUAUUUGUAAAAUGUCCCUCACACCUGUAUGUGAAUGUUACUCUGCCAGUAAUCAUUUAUCACUGUCAUGCAGCCUGUUUUAUUCAGUUGUGUGCUGAAUGGGAUGCCAAACAAACAAUUGAUGAGACAUACAUCAUGACCCA